Molecule: ribosomal RNA, 323 nt
Filed under: uncultured eukaryote
Lineage: Eukaryota
Description: partial 18S ribosomal RNA
Rfam family: Eukaryotic small subunit ribosomal RNA
Source: RNAcentral
CCCCUAGACGUUCUGGGCUGCACGCGCGCUACUAUAAUACGCACAGCGAGUAUCACCGAGCUCGAAAGGGCAAGGUAAACAAUAGAAAAGGUACUGUAAUGGUUAUAGAUCCUUGUAAUUAUUGAUCUUCAACGAGGAAUUCCUAGUAAGUAUGUGUCAUCAUCACGCACUGAUUACGUCCCUGCCCUUUGUACACACCGCCCGUCGCUCCUACCGAUUGAAUGCUCAGGUGAGCCAUUCGGACUUUCAUCAUGCUGGUUUCCAGUUUUGAUGAAGGAAAGUCUUGCGAACCUUAUCAUUUAGAGGAAGGAGAAGUCGUAACA